UACGGGGGGAGCAAGCGUUGUUCGGAUUUACUGGGCGUAAAGGGCGCGUAGGCGGCACCGCAAGUCGAUUGUGAAAUCUCCGGGCUUAACCCGGAAAGGUCAACCGAUACUGCGGGGCUAGAGUGCAGAAGGGGCUACUGGAAUUCUCGGUGUAGCGGUGAAAUGCGUAGAUAUCGAGAGGAACACCUGCGGCGAAGGCGGGUUGCUGGGCUGACACUGACGCUGAAGUGCGAAAGCUAGGGGAGCGAACGGG
RNAcentral lists this ribosomal RNA (253 nucleotides) under uncultured bacterium. RNAcentral describes it as "partial 16S ribosomal RNA". It matches the Rfam family "Bacterial small subunit ribosomal RNA", at positions 524 to 776 of the family's 1533-position model. The record is from RNAcentral.